AUUGAACGCUGGCGGCAGGCCUAACACAUGCAAGUCGAGCGGAUGAAGGGAGCUUGCUCCUGGAUUCAGCGGCGGACGGGUGAGUAAUGCCUAGGAAUCUGCCUGGUAGUGGGGGAUAACGUCCGGAAACGGGCGCUAAUACCGCAUACGUCCUGAGGGAGAAAGUGGGGGAUCUUCGGACCUCACGCUAUCAGAUGAGCCUAGGUCGGAUUAGCUAGUUGGUGGGGUAAAGGCCUACCAAGGCGACGAUCCGUAACUGGUCUGAGAGGAUGAUCAGUCACAACGGAACUUAAACACGGGUCCGAAUCCCACCGGAGGCCGGAGUUGGGAAUUUUUGGCCAUUGGCGAAAGCCUGAUCCAGCCAUGCCGCGUGUGUGAAGAAGGUCUUCGGAUUGUAAAGCACUUUAAGUUGGGAGGAAGGGCAGUAAGUUAAUACCUUGCUGUUUUGACGUUACCAACAGAAUAAGCACCGGCUAACUUCGUG
RNAcentral lists this ribosomal RNA (484 nucleotides) under uncultured bacterium. RNAcentral describes it as "partial 16S ribosomal RNA". It matches the Rfam family "Bacterial small subunit ribosomal RNA", at positions 30 to 507 of the family's 1533-position model. The record is from RNAcentral.